This is a long non-coding RNA of Cyprinus carpio carpio, 1115 nucleotides long. Lineage: Eukaryota; Metazoa; Chordata; Actinopteri; Cypriniformes; Cyprinidae. The record is from Ensembl.
AAACCACACUCACACACCCUUAAUAUGUUCAUGCCAUGCCCUGAGUAUGUUGAUGGCUUGAUCCUACUAUUAAAACAGUGAUUGGACUUUGGACUUUUGUGCAUUCUUACCGAUGUCCUGUGAUGAUCCCAACUAAGUCGGAACCAGGCAAUACAGUCCAUAAACCUAAUUAACAUUGGUCCUUCGAGCCGGAUCGGUGAUUGCCACAGGUUAAGAUGUCCAAAGCCCAUUCAGAGUCACAGUGUGAGCCUGAAGUCCGUAGUAGAUGACCAUCACGGCCCCCACGCCACUUGGAAGAUUAUGAGGUGGAUUACAGCGGCUUCCAGCAUACAUAUCCACCUACUUCCAGGAUGCAAACAGAGCCUUACCGCUGGGAGUCAGGGAAUGAGGGUGCUGUCGGGAUGACACCCUUCACCAGGUGGCAUGCUACUCACCGCGGUGAUGUUACUGAGGAUACUGGAGAUCAGUAUGUACCACAAGAUGCUCAAACAGUGAUUUGGCAGCUACGAGAAGAGAACAGACGCCUGCAUAAAACCAUUGAGGACAUGAAACACAGCUCAGAAAGGGAGGAAACCGACUCAUCACAGUGUCCUGUGCCUUUUCCUCGCACUCACUCAUCGACAAAGGCAGCAAAGAAACCUUCUCCUGUCCCAACUCCACGUCUAAGCAAGUUAGCAGUAGCUCAAAUGAGUGAUCAGAUUUCUAAAGAGACUGGAAAACCAGUUAUGGAUAAAGGAAAGGAACAGUCGGAAGAUGAGGAGCUAGACUGUGAAAUUAAUUUGUCAGGUGAACUUUCAGAAAUGAAACUGCAGCCCACAUCAAAGAACAGAAACCACACUCACACACCCUUAAUAUGUUCAUGCCAUGCCCUGAGUAUGUUGAUGGCUUGAUCCUACUAUUAAAACAGUGAUUGGACUUUGGACUUUUGUGCAUUCUUACCGAUGUCCUGUGAUGAUCCCAAAUAAGUCGGAACCAGGCAAUACAGUCCAUAAACCUAAUUAACAGGUAGUUAUAAGGAGCAACUUCAUACCUAACUGAAGCUUAAGGUUGUCCACCAUUUUUUCUCAUCUUUAAAAUUUGAAGUCUCUUCAGCUUCUGUGCGCUCAUGGAAUAGC